CGUAGGGUGCGAGCGUUAAUCGGAAUUACUGGGCGUAAAGCGUGCGCAGGCGGUUCUGAAAGUCAGCUGUGAAAGCCCCGGGCUUAACCUGGGAAUUGCGGUUGAAACUACAGGGCUAGAAUCUGGCAGAGGGGGGUGGAAUUCCACGUGUAGCAGUGAAAUGCGUAGAGAUGUGGAGGAACACCGAUGGCGAAGGCAGCCCCCUGGGCUGAGAUUGACGCUCAGGCACGAAAGCGUGGGGAGCAAAACAGGAUUAGAUACCCUGGUAGUCCACGCCCUAAAACGAUGUCAACUAGGUGUUGGGAGCGCAAGUUCUCAGUACCGCAGCUAACGCGUGAAGUUGACCGCCUGGGGAGUACGGUCGCAAGAUUAA
Molecule: ribosomal RNA, 373 nt
Filed under: uncultured organism
Description: bacterial SSU rRNA
Rfam family: Bacterial small subunit ribosomal RNA
Source: RNAcentral